UGGGUGACCCUGCCUUGGGGUCCCUUCCAGCCCUAACUAUUCUGUGAUUCUAUGGGGGAAAAAAACAAACAAACAAACCCAAAACCAAACCCUACGGAUGUCUCUGUCAGGGAUUGUCACGUGAAGGAUUUGCAGCAGCUCCAGAGUGACGCCUGAUGCUCGGGAGUGCUGAGCUUAACCCGUCGCCCGCUCUAUUUGAGGUGCCCUUCUAUGAAUUUUGGCAACUGCAUACUUGCUUUAUCGCUCUGCAAAUGUGCUCCCAUUAAAAAAACCCCAACCAAACAAAAACCAAAAAACAAACCCUCAGCUUUUCACCGUUUGAUGUGUGUCCUCGGCCCCAUUCAUUUGCUAGAUGUUUUCCUCCUUUGAUCUAUUGGUAAUGGUGUUCAUUUAGGAGAGGUAUUCAGCUGAGCAGGCUUCGAUAUUCUAUCAAGGAAUUUGAAUAAAUACAAUUAUUUCUUAUUUUCUAACAUGGAAUAGCUGAGAGCUUUAGGCGUAGAAAAAGCAUGGGGCAAAAAGGAAUUUCAGGGCUCCCUUUAAUAGAGCUUUACAAUGCAGUCAGUAAAUCUGGCUUGUUGGUGAAAUGUUCAUAAUAGGUACAAUUAGGGCCUCUGCUGACUUUGAAUUGAAAAUAAUUUUUUUCAAUGAACCUUUCAAUAUUAUAUUUUUAUUGCCAUGUUGCUGGCUUGGUUGAUCAUAGUUUUUAUGUGAACUCUAUCUUUCCUAAGUGGAAGAGCAGGGAUGUCGUAUAAUAUCUAUUUAAAGCACGACCAGUGUUCAUCAGUCAACAGAUUUUUCGGCAAAUUAAAUAUUCCUGGUUAUUAAUAUUGGUGGGAAAAAAAUGAAUGUAUUUUUUGAAUGCAAGUAAGGAAAAAAUAGUUCCAACACUUUUUUGAGGGGUGGGUCUAUUUUUGUAAUUUUUUAACCAUGCUUGCUCCCUAGGAGAGUUGGUUGCAGAGAAAGAAUGGUACAGCAGGAUAAUGCCAUGUUCUCUCCCAGCCUCUGCCUAGCAAAAGGGAAAUGUGCUGGGGAUUUAUUCUGUUGCCUGGAGCUGACAGACUGACUUCUUCCUGCCCCUGCAAUGGUGCAGGUGGGCCAGAACACUUGCACCAGCACCCUGGUUUAACUUUUUUUUUGGUGAGAACAAGUGCCUGAGUGACCUGGUUAGCAAGCACUGUGCUUUACUUAUUAAGCAGUGACUAAUACAAUGCAAAGGAUUAAUUUUGAUUUCUCCACCAACUGCUUUCCCCUCCCCCACACUCUUACACUCUUCUUAUCCCUGCUUUUUUCUUCUCAAUCUCUUACAGUCUGGCUGAAAUGCUGAUUUUUUUUUUAACUCUGCUCCUGAAACAACUCUGGGCCAUUCCCUUUUUUAUCUUAAUUCACUGGGUUCUCUUUGCAUAAUAGAUCAUCUUUGUCCGAAAAGCAGUGCCAACAGCCACUCCCAGUGCCAUUCAUACACAGUAUGUGUCUUGCCCCGGGUCCUGUCACAUGAUGUUUCCCAUGUUAGGUGUGGUGCUGAAUGUGCUAAACAGAACUCUUAGACACAAAGGGGAAAUGACCAAAACCCAUGGCCUUAAAUUCAUGGCUCUCUACCAGCCACUUCAUGCAGAACUCCCAUCAAAAGUCAGUGUUUCUGUGCAUCCAGUGCUGGCAGGACCAAACCCUUAAAAUCAGGUAACAUUCAGAUCCCCAGUACAAUAUUUGUGGCAUCAGUGGGGUGAAUUAAUCUGCAUUUCAAGGCAGAAUGCAUUCAUCUGUACUUUCUCCUGCCUUUUGUUCGCAAAAAACAACAAAAAACCCCACAUUAGCAGAGCCAUGUUGCUGCUUCCUGCUUCUGUUGUUUAGUGUUUUGCAGCUACCACGGCUGGCCAAGAAGCUGUAAAUCUUGCCUGGUGUUCUGUAACAAAGAGAAAAAUAGAAUGAUUUGUGUUGACUUUUGGUCAUCGUGUAUCAUUAUCGAUCCGAGGGAGGGCGGCGGGGGAACACGUUACCGUGUAUCUGUUGCUCGCCAGUUCUCCGGGAAGGCGGCGUUACCCAGCAGUCAGUAGAGGGCAAUAGAGAAAUACAGUUUUGUGAUGCCUAAAGGAUUUAAAGCCCUGAUUAUGUGUUUACAGAAAAGAAAAAGAAGAAAAGAAGAGCCAGGAGGAUAGGUUGUUCAGUUUACUACCGGAGACCUGACUGUGACAGACUACCAAGGGAACAAAAUUUUCUAAGAGAGUAAAGAAGACCCUCUGCAGCAUUUGCAAGGGUCUCCUUUUUUUCUUCAGAGUUACGUGGGAUAACUUAGCCAGAACUUAUUGAUGUCUGCAUGUUCAGUGGACUCGGGAAUGGACUGGGAGAUGCAGAAAGGCACUCUUUGGAAGGAACAGAAGAGGAGGCAUUUCAAAAAUCCUGCAGGUGACCGAGGUGAUGAUCUGCUGACAGAAUAAAUAAAUCAUAGAUAGUACUGAGACUGCUCAGCCAUUUGCUGUGGUAUCACUUCUACAUAGGGAAAAGAAAAAUGGAGGUAAGGAAUUAUAACUUGGGAAUGUGAGGACAGGAAGGAAGACUGUACCUGGGACAUGGAUUUGAGGCAAGAUGCCUUGAAAACCUCUUUCAGAUUUGUUUUUUUCUCUCUGUGACCUUGUCCAGUCCUUUUAGGUUUCUUUUACUGCAGUACAUGUGACUGUAGGAUGGCAAGAGAAACUCCCUUCUCCAUCAUGUGAGAACAAGAGACAGUUCCCCUCAGUCUCCAAUGUUCACAUGCGUGCGUCCCUGCACUGACUUCAUGUUGCACCAUCACCAACAUAUUGGCAUGCAUGAGGAGCACAAGCCUGCUGUCUCUUCAGUUGCUCACUGCAUGCAGGUGACACGAGUUGUGUUUGCACAGAGGGUUUCCAUGGGGGUUUGCUCUGUGACUGCUCUGCCAAGGGUGACACGCACUGAUGGGUAUGAGCUCUCCUUUUUUUCUAAGAGGAAAGCGAUACUCUAAAUGGAUCAGAAAUUAUCCUUAUUGUCACAGUAUCCUGGAGCCCUUGGCUUGUUGGGGUGUCCCAGCUGCAGGAGUGGGGUGUCUGUGCUUUUUCUCCAGUCAACCCCAGCCCCAAGAGUAUUAGUGGCCCACCCUGAAUGUACAGCACACAAAUUGGGGCUUAGUGAACACCCGUCAAUGUUUUGAUCAAGGGUUCAUUUCUAGUCACCUUCUCCUGCUUUGUCUGGCUCCCACAAUCCCAUGAAUGCUGUGGGAUUCAUUCCCCUGACCUAGAUUUUCCUCUGGGGCCCUACACAACUCCCAAGGCCAGAGGUUAAAAACCCUCUGCUUAGCUGUUCUGCUUUUGUCUGAACUCUCUGUGAAAUACAAUUAGCACAUAUUUAACUAGUUGAGGGGCACAUUGUAAGGCCUAAUGAAUGAUUUCACAGUACCUGAUGUGGUGAAAAGCCUAGAAGAACCUGAUAAGGAGGUGAGCUUUACUUAAUUAAGUUAACCUUCAGAUUAAUUGAGCUGCUUUCUAAAAAAAAUGCAAUGUGAGAGCACACAGCUCCUGCAGGGCUGUAGUCUCGUUUCUGGGCCUGCACUCAUUAGAUGCAGCCAAACACAGUGUCUGUCAGAGGGUAUGUACAUUGCUGGGGCGCACGCUGAUCCUCUCUGCUUAUUUAUGCUUUACAAAGUGUAAAUUUCAGAAAUAAAUUGUUGAUCUACUCUGCAUGCAGCGAAACUUUGCCCAAGGCUGGAAUGGUGAUUUUUUUUUCCCCGUGUGCCUCCUUGCUCUUUUGGAUGAUGCCCUCAUGCUGCUAUUUCAGUUUCUAACCAAGCAAUUAUCCAGCUACAUAUAUGUGCAGCAAGCACACUGAGCACAGCUGCCUCCCCAGUGACUUCAAGGAAACUCAGAUGUCUCUUUCCCUCCUUUUAUUGAA
Chiroxiphia lanceolata (lance-tailed manakin) is the source of this 3897-nucleotide long non-coding RNA. RefSeq lists it as uncharacterized. The transcript has 3 exons. The record is from RefSeq and is a predicted model, not a curated record. Lineage: Eukaryota; Metazoa; Chordata; Aves; Passeriformes; Pipridae.